UCCAGACUCCUACGGGAGGCAGCAGUCGGGAAUAUUGCGCAAUGGAGGAAACUCUGACGCAGUGACGCCGCGUAUAGGAAGAAGGUUUUCGGAUUGUAAACUAUUGUCAUCAGGGAAGAUAAAAGACAGUACCUGAGGAGGAAGCUCCGGCUAACUAUGUGCCAGCAGCCGCGGUAAUACAUAGGGAGCAAGCGUUAUCCGGAUUUAUUGGGUGUAAAGGGUGCGUAGACGGGAAAGCAAGUUAGUUGUGAAAUCCCUCGGCUUAACUGAGGAAUUGCAACUAAAACUGUUUUUCUUGAGUGUCGGAGAGGAAAGUGGAAUUCCUAGUGUAGCGGUGAAAUGCGUAGAUAUUAGGAGGAACACCAGUGGCGAAGGCGACUUUCUGGACGAUAACUGACGUUGAGGCACGAAAGUGUGGGGAGCAAACAGGAUUAGAUACCCCCGUAAG
Molecule: ribosomal RNA, 448 nt
Filed under: uncultured bacterium
Lineage: Bacteria
Description: bacterial SSU rRNA
Rfam family: Bacterial small subunit ribosomal RNA
Source: RNAcentral